CAUAAUUGAUAUUCAUGUCAACACCGAAGUGCUGACUAAUAGGCUGGUGAUACCCUCGGGGACGAAACGUCCACCAUCAGAGGCAUCGACCCAGUGGUGUAAAUAGUUAUCAAAGGUACCAGGAUUAUAAUUUAGUACGCCAGAUGCGCGUUUCGUCUGCAGACUCAUCAGUGACGCUCAUAUCAAAAUAGUUAUAAACCAAACAAAUACAAAGUUGAAGAGCAUUGAGGAUCCAAAAUUCCAAAAAGUUGUGCCAAAUACGGCUAAGGUUAUCAAUGCCUGGGAUAAGAAAAUCCUUAGUUUUUUGAAAAAUUCAAAGUUUUGUUAACAGAAAAUUUAUAAAAAUGACCACAUAAUUGAUAUUCAUGUCAACACCGAAGUGCUGACUACUGGGCUGGUGAGACCCUCGGGGACGAAACGUCCACCAGCAGAGGAAUCGACCCAGUGGUGUAAAUAGUUAUCAAAGGUACCAGGAUUAUAAUUUAGUACGCCAGACGCUCGUUUCGUCUACAUAAGACUCAUCAGUGACGCUCAUAUCAAAAUAGUUAUAAACCAA
RNAcentral lists this long non-coding RNA (556 nucleotides) under Mytilus galloprovincialis (Mediterranean mussel). The record is from RNAcentral. Lineage: Eukaryota; Metazoa; Mollusca; Bivalvia; Mytilida; Mytilidae.